GGUUAACGCUGGCGGCGUGCCUAACACAUGCAAGUCGAACGGUUCUAAGCGCGAGCUUAGGAUAGUGGCGAACGGGUGAGUAAAAGGUAGGAAUCUACCCCUUGGACGGAGAUAGCUACUGGAAACGGUAGGUAAACUUCGAUAAGCCCGAGAGGGGAAAGUGGUGAGACAGCCGAGGGAUGAGCCUACUCUCCAUCAGGUAGUUGGUGAGAUAAAAGCUUACCAAGCCGAUGACGGAUAACCGGUGUGAGAGCAUGAACGGUCACAAGGGCACUGAGAGACGGGCCCUACUCCUACGGGAGGCAGCAGUGGGGAAUCUUGGACAAUGGGCGAAAGCCUGACCCAGCCAUGCCGCGUGAGUGAUGAAGGUCCUAGAGAUUGUAAAACUCUUUUCUGAGGAAAGAAUGAAUAGGGAAGGAAAAUGUCCUUAUUUUGACGGUACCUCAGGAAUAAAGGAAACGGCUAAACUCCGUG
RNAcentral lists this ribosomal RNA (474 nucleotides) under uncultured bacterium. RNAcentral's name for it is "bacterial SSU rRNA". It matches the Rfam family "Bacterial small subunit ribosomal RNA", at positions 28 to 507 of the family's 1533-position model. The record is from RNAcentral.